Odocoileus virginianus texanus is the source of this 4873-nucleotide non-coding RNA. The record is from RefSeq and is a predicted model, not a curated record. Lineage: Eukaryota; Metazoa; Chordata; Mammalia; Artiodactyla; Cervidae.
CUGCUGCCGGAUGGGAGUGCCCGGGCGCGUCUGUGUCGCAGGAGGUCCGCACAUGCACCAUGUCAUCAUGCGUCUCUAGCCAGCCCAGCAGCGACCGGGCCGCCCCCCAGGAUGAGCUGGGGGGCGGGGGCGGCAGCAGCAGCAGCGAAGGUCAGAAGCCCUGUGAGGCCCUGCGGGGCCUCUCCUCCCUGAGCAUCCGCCUGGGCAUGGAGUCCUUCAUCGUGGUCACCGAGUGUGAGCCCGCCUGCGCCGGGGACCAUGGCCUGCCCCGGGACCGGCCCCUGCAGGCGCAUGGCGGAGAGAUCACCCUUGACAACUCUGGGUCUCAGGCCCGGCCCCUCCUCUCCAGUCGCAAGCUCUCUCUGCAGGAGCGGUCCCUGCUGGAUGCCAAUGGGCGCUGCGUCUGCCCCGCACUGCCCCACUCGCCAGUGGGCUCCCCGCAGUCCUCGCCGCGGCUGCCCCGGCGCCCCACGGUGGAGUCACACCACGUCUCCAUCACUGGGAUGCAGGACUGUGUACAGCUGAAUCAGUACACACUGAAGGAUGAGAUUGGAAAGGGCUCGUAUGGCGUGGUCAAGUUGGCCUACAAUGAAAAUGACAAUACCUACUACGCAAUGAAGGUGCUGUCCAAAAAGAAACUGAUCCGACAGGCGGGCUUUCCACGUCGCCCCCCUCCCCGAGGUACCCGACCAGCCCCCGGGGGCUGCAUCCCGCCCAGGGGCCCGAUUGAGCAGGUGUACCAGGAAAUUGCCAUCCUCAAGAAGCUGGACCACCCCAAUGUAGUGAAGCUGGUGGAGGUCUUGGAUGACCCCAAUGAGGACCAUCUGUACAUGGUGUUUGAACUGGUCAACCAAGGGCCUGUGAUGGAAGUGCCCACCCUCAAACCACUCUCUGAAGACCAGGCCCGUUUCUACUUCCAGGAUCUAAUCAAAGGCAUCGAGUACUUACACUACCAGAAGAUCAUCCACCGGGACAUCAAACCUUCCAACCUGCUGGUGGGAGAAGAUGGGCACAUCAAGAUCGCGGACUUUGGUGUGAGCAAUGAGUUCAAGGGCAGCGAUGCCCUUCUCUCUAACACUGUGGGCACGCCGGCCUUCAUGGCUCCUGAAUCGCUCUCGGAAACCCGGAAGAUCUUCUCCGGGAAGGCACUGGAUGUUUGGGCUAUGGGUGUGACACUGUACUGCUUUGUGUUUGGUCAGUGCCCGUUCAUGGACGAGCGGAUCAUGUGUUUACACAGUAAGAUCAAGAGUCAGGCCCUGGAAUUUCCAGAUCAGCCUGACAUAGCCGAGGAUUUGAAGGACCUGAUCACACGCAUGUUGGACAAGAACCCUGAGUCGAGGAUCGUGGUGCCAGAGAUCAAGGCAGGGUCCCUGAGAGCCAGUGGCAACAGCCCCUCACCCCUCCUGUCCUUCGUUGAAGCUGCACCCCUGGGUCACGAGGCAUGGGGCGGAGCCGCUGCCAUCGGAGGACGAGAACUGCACACUGGUCGAGGUGACCGAAGAGGAGGUCGAGAAUUCGGUCAAACACAUUCCCAGCCUGGCAACCGUGAUCCUGGUGAAGACCAUGAUACGAAAACGCUCCUUCGGGAACCCGUUUGAGGGCAGCCGGCGGGAGGAGCGUUCCUUGUCAGCGCCUGGAAACCUGCUCAGCAAAAAACCAACCAGGGAGUGUGAGCCCCUGUCUGAGCCCAAGGAAGCAAGGCAGCGAAGACAGCCUCCAGGGCCCCGACCCGGCCCCCGUAGGGGAGGAGGAAGUGCUCUCAUGAAAGGCGGCCCUGGCGUGGAGAGUUGGGGGGUCCCAGGCCCCGGCUCCCUAGAGCACACUCAUCCUGCGCGGCCGGACGAGGUGAUGGAGUAGCCGCCGGACCGCCGCGACUGCGCAUGCACGUCUCACAUCCGCUGGCGGCGCCCUGUGUUUCCAUAGCAGCAUGUCCUACGGGAAACCGAGCACGUGUGUAGAGCCUUGACCGUCAUCUCUGGUUGUUUUGUUUUGUUUUUAGUUUGUUUGAUUUCUUUCUUGUUUUAAAGGGGACAAAAAAAAAAAAAAAUGACGACUCCAUGACAUCGACUUUGGCCGCUGGCUGGCUGAAUGGGCGGGUGUGAGGAGUUGCAGACCCAAAGCCACGUGCAUUGGGGGACAAUUGCUUUUUAAGACGUUUUUAUGCCAAAAAUCCUUCCUUGUGAACUCAGAAUGGUGUCAAGAGAUACCAAGUGAAUGUGUGAGGUUUGAACAUUGGGAAGAACUGGCAGGAAACUGGUGGUGUGGUCCAAGGCCACACUUGGCUGCAUUUGAAAGGGAGAGGAAAAGCAGGUGUGACUUCGUGCAAAACCCCAAACCGUGGCACCUUCUAGAAUGUGGAUUCAUGGAGUCAGGACAGGGUUAGCCCACAGUAUCAGCUGCAGCCUGAUUCGAUGCAACUUAUUCUUAAGAAGGACUAUAAAUUUUUUUAAUGAGUAGAGCUGUAAUCAGGAAAACAGAAAGGGCUUGAUACAUAAGAGCUUGGUGGAGGGCAGAUUUUCCAUUCCCAGAAGGGCAUUCAGUGGUUAUGGUGGGACGUCUCCCCUCAAGGAUUAAAUGAGUGUGUUUAUGACAGCCACUCAGAGCUGAAACUUUUCUCAAAUAGUUGAAGGAGCUCUAGUAAAUCUCUUGUUAAAUUACAGAAACUUCAGGGUGAAAUUAAAUCCUACACUUCCAUGUACGUUACAUGGCUUAAGAAUAAACAACAACAAAUACUUUAAAUUCUCUAACUAGUCUGAACUCUUGAGCAGUUCAGAAACCAUUUUGAGCUUCCAGGAGCUAUCCCAUGGCUUCAGGUGUGUGAUCACAGUUAGCGCCAAUGACAUCUAUCCUGUAUAUUAGCAGCUCAGCUUGCUUAUAACCUGUGUAUUCUAGAGGCUGCUAAGAUUCUGUUUUCUUCUUCAGCACUAGCUGAUUGUUGUAGUCAGUGAAACAGUUAUCCAGUUUGUGGAGGGCUAGUUAGGAAAUACUUUGAUUCAGCUGAGACAUAAAUGAUCAUCCUUAUUGGCAAAGCUCUGUUAGGAUCUAAACAAUAACUGUAGGGCACCCUUUUAGAGAAGAUUCUUGAAACCUAAAGCAGUCCUCGGAUCCAAUGCAACCAGGGCUUGGCACAGGAAGUCCCCUUUUGUAGCCAGCAGUCCAGAAAGAAAAAAGUGUAUGUUUUUGACUUCCAACUAACAUUGGGAAGUUCAAUUGCAGUUCAAGUGUGACUUCUUCCAGAGUCCUGUGUGGGUAACUGUGAGGUUCAAGAGGGAGGAAAAUUGGAAGGACUUGGCCUGGGGGAUUCCCAGUGCUUUGUGGAAUUUGCCUUGGGGAUCGGGAUCAGAAGCAUGAGCUCUUCUGUAGCUUCUGGCUGAUCUGUGCUGAAAGGGGCACUUUGUGCAGAGACAGAGCAGCAGGUCUGUGUCUGCUGCCAAGUAUGUUCACAGAGCUUCCGCAGAUCUUCGUCAGCUCUUGACUGUCGUUUAGCCAGACUCUUCUUUCUACCUUAUAAGCAGUACAGUUAGAGAAGGCUGGUUUCCAAGAGUCAAGGACACCCAUCUGAUGGAGGGUCCUCUGGCCUCUUUCUUUCUGUAAUCUAGUACUUCUUCCUCCUGUGCUUGUUUAAAUCUACAGGCUCCACCCCUCCUGGGAACAAAUGGGUCUGGUUAGUUUGCAAUAAGCACCUUGCAAUGGUUUAAGUCAACCUGCUCUUCGUCUUAGUCCGUGUGGACGCUGACCUGAUAGUGGGGGGCUCGCCCGGAGAGGCAGGGGCUGGUAGCAUGCAUAGCCUCUGCAGAACUCCUCCUGUGUUUACACAACUGCAUCGGGCGAUGCUAUUUCUCCGGCCAUGAAACUCUCCAUUGAAGAUUUCACAUGUGGAAAGCCAGCGAUCAGGCAGCACUGAACUGUUCAGGCAGGUGGGUUGGGGGAGGCCCAUGUUCAUUACUGUUGUUUUUUUUUUUUUUUUACACUAAGAAACACCAAAGAAAGCUGUGGAAAAGAACCACCCCACCGAGAAAAGGAUGAGCAAAGAGGGCUGUAACAGAAAGCAUUAGAGCUACUUGGAGUGCAGACUCUUGGGGUUUGUCUCCACUCUUAGAGCACAAACACUGACUUUUUCCCAAAGCCAACUCUGUCAGGAAAGGGCAGAAGCUGUUAUGAGCAGCUUUUCUACAUAAGCAAAAAGGAUGCCUAUCCUUCUCUUCCAUUACUGGCUCAUCUGUGGGACCAAUUUUUAAGCAAGCGGUGGCCUGCACCUGUGGCCUUGAAGAAGCACAUGUUCUCUACCCAUCUUUCUUCCACCCUGUUUCACUUCCCCAUCUGUUCCACAGCCUGGCCAGUGGCUCCCAUAAAGCCUUAUCUAGCCCCUUGCUGGCACUUGGGGCCGGAGAGGCCAUCUACCCGCUGGUCUGGCCUUUCUCGUAAGCUAGGGCUUUCGUCCUCCAAGCCUUUCAGGAUGAGGUGAAGAACUGUGCAAUGUAGACACAUAGGCUCCACCUGUCGCUCUCACCCAUCUUCCAAAGGGGAGCUUCACAUCACCAGGGGGAAGAACCAAGACUUCCACUCGCUUCCAAGGUGCUAGGGAAGGUUUCAAGGUUGUUGAUUUCAAUCUUCUCUCCAGCUUUACAGGCCGAGUUUCAUGGGACUACUGACUUUUCUAUUCUGUGGUUGAUUUCAUGCCCGAUGCUUCUGUUUUAUUCCUGAUCCUUUCUACUAUGCAUUUUCCUUUUAUCAGGUGUACAAAGUUAAAUACUGUGUAUUUAUCACUGAAAAGUACAUGAACUUAAGAGAAAAAUAAGCCUUCAGUGUUUUUCCACAAAUGUUUAAGCUUCUCUGUAAACUUGAAAUAAACAUUAAAAUGGUGCAAAGUCGG